AUGAACAGCAAGAGAAGCUUGCAAACGGAAGAGGAAAAUAUGAACAAAGGGGAAACCGUCCGUACCCUUUCAGGCAGAGGCGUCGUGGCGGCAUCGCCAUGUGCACGUCCUUGGGCGGCGCUUUUACCGCCCCUUCUCGAGCGAUCGGCAGCCCCGCCGCCGCCCUCGUCGUCGCCUGCUCGCUGGUUUAGAUCUAUGCUUCGCAGGACUCUGCCUGCACCCACAACCUGUCCAGUUCACUUAAUUGGUGAAAGGAACACCGAGCACAUGGAUCAAACAACGGGGAUCAAGCCAUUGCAGCAGGCAGCAGCGAUGAUAGUUCAGUCAAUCGAAGGGAAGCUUGCAGUUGCAGAGUUGCUGUCGCUGAUGAAACAAAAAAAAAAAAGCAAAGGGGGAAACGGGCCGUACCCUUUCAGGAAGUGGCGUCGCGGCGGCACCGUCAUGUGCAGAAGGCGCCGCAGAUCCAUCGGCGCUUUCACCGCCGCUUCUCGAGCAACCGGCAUCCCCGCCGUGGCCCUCGCCGUCUUCAGCAGGUUCGUUCAAAUUUAG
This 549-nucleotide ribosomal RNA is filed under the name Triticum aestivum (bread wheat). RNAcentral describes it as "partial small subunit ribosomal RNA". The record is from RNAcentral. Lineage: Eukaryota; Viridiplantae; Streptophyta; Magnoliopsida; Poales; Poaceae.